GGAAGAACUUUUAGACUGCAUACUCUGUGUUGUCAGAUCUUGUGCUCCACUGAUGUCCUAGAUUAGAGAACUAGAAAUGUUAAAGACUAUAUUCAAACCUAUGCUCUUUAAAAUCUGUAGUGUAUGAUAGCAUUUAUUGCCUUUUUGUACUUUGAUACUCUUGUUCCAUGGCUACAAAUCCAACAAUUUCAUCACUCUAAAAGAAAUACUUUAUUUUCUCUGUUUUUAAAUCCAUCUGCUUAAAUUUUCACUCCUAAAUGAAUGUCCUCCCUUUUGUGUUUGCAGGAUUUGGCGAACUGUUCUGCUGUCAUCUUGCCCAACUCUUCUCCAGUUGAUUUCAUUAUUUUUCUUGGUAAAGGAAAUGCUUCCUCUCCUUAGACAUUUAGUUGUCCUAAGGCUUUGUUGUCCAUGGCACUGCCUAGCUGCCCCUGUCCUAGUCUCAGUGCUUCCCAAGCCCAUCUCAGAAACCUUGCAGCCUGCAGCCAGAAAUGGAUGAGGCUCCAUGGACUACAUGCCACAGUGGCACAGAGGAGAAUAGAUGAGAAGAGACUUGCUGCAGCAGAUGUUCAGCUAUUCCUGCUUUCAUAAGCAGAGGAAAAGAAAAUACAGGAAAGGGAGGAUGUGGAAAAGAGGACAUUCCACUGGGGAAAAAGAAAAAAGGUUAAGGUAAAUCUUUGGCCUGGUGAAAGCCCAAAGAUGGAUCUGCAGAUCAGAUGAAAGGAGUUUGUGGUUAGGUAGUGGAAAGUAAAACCAACAGACUGAGACAGAAAAAGGGGAGAUGCUGGGAGAAGUGAGAGAUUUUAAUAGAACUAGGCAAAAUGAGGAAAAAGAAAAAUUAAAAGGAAGAUACAAAGGGAGCUCAAAGCUUUUGUCUUUUCAAAAUAAAAUAUUUUUUGAAAGAAAAAUGUAACUAAUCCAAAUGAGAGUGGAGCAAUUAGUAGAUGGAGAAGUGCCAAAUAUAAUGAAACAUAGUGAGGAAGAAGGAAAAUGUAAAAAUGAAAGGAAGCGGAAAAGGGGAGGGGGGGCACCCUACAUUACUUCUAUUUUUCCAAUUCCUUUGUUUUAUCAUAUGUCCUUGGGAAACCAGUUUAUUGUGAUAAAAGAAUUUAUGUCUAACAAUGGCAUAUCCUCUGCUUUUACUCACUGAUACUAUUAUUGUACUUGGGCUAGACCGGUGACCUCCAAAAGUUUUUGAGCAUGCACCUUUAUCAGUAAGACGUUUUGGAGCAUGCACCCAUA
Cyanistes caeruleus (blue tit) is the source of this 1239-nucleotide non-coding RNA. The record is from RefSeq and is a predicted model, not a curated record. Lineage: Eukaryota; Metazoa; Chordata; Aves; Passeriformes; Paridae.